This 328-nucleotide ribosomal RNA is filed under the name uncultured eukaryote. Its description in RNAcentral is "partial 18S ribosomal RNA". It matches the Rfam family "Eukaryotic small subunit ribosomal RNA", at positions 1470 to 1796 of the family's 1831-position model. The record is from RNAcentral.
CCCUUAGAUGAUUUGGGCUGCACGCGCGCUACACUGACCCUAACAAUGAGCAACUGUCUGGCCUGAGAUGGCUGGGUAGCCUUUUCAACCCAUGUCAUGAUUGGGCUAGAUUUUUGUAAGUCUUGAUCUCUAACGAGGAAUCCCUAGUAUGCGUGAAUCAUCAAUCCAUGCAGAUUAUGUCCCUGCCCUUUGUACACACCGCCCGUCGCUCCUACCGAUUGAGUGUGUUGGUGAGGAGUUCGGAUUGGCUCUUAGUGGUGGUUCGCCACCACCUAGAGCUGAGAAGUUCUCCAAACCGCCCCACUUAGAGGAAGGAGAAGUCGUAACA